GAUAAUCAGCAGCCUUUCAGUAGUAUCCAUUUAUAAAUAGAAGAUCCUUGGAAUAGAGAGAUGUGAAUGCAGAUGUCUGACGUAAUAAAGCUCAAACUAAUCUCCAGUAUUUUAUUAAGAAAUCAUUAUACUGAACUGCUUCAGGUGAAAUCUUUCUCCAUUGAAGUUAGCAGCAAAAUUCCCUCUGACUUCAGACAGCAAGAAAUAAAACCUUUUCAAGACAGUUAUUAAGCUGCAGAACAGCUAAAAGCUUCAGGGUGGCACCAUCAUAUUACAAGAAGUGAAAGGAUAAAGCAAAGAAGAGCUGGUUGGCUGAGUUUCCCAUGCAACUCCAAGAAGAGUCAAGCCUCUUUUAGCUCACCAGAGACAAAGGCAUACAUGCAAAGUUUUUAAAAGAGCAUAGGCUGCAGUGAAAGCUGGAUGCUACCAGCACUAGGUACUUCUCUUCCUCUCUGUCUGAGUAAAACCCAGGUUAUG
Molecule: long non-coding RNA, 477 nt
Organism: Lonchura striata (white-rumped munia)
Lineage: Eukaryota; Metazoa; Chordata; Aves; Passeriformes; Estrildidae
Source: RefSeq, a predicted model, not a curated record